Long non-coding RNA from Anguilla rostrata (American eel), 1838 nucleotides. RefSeq lists it as uncharacterized. The transcript has 2 exons. NCBI's taxonomy places the organism in Eukaryota, Metazoa, Chordata, Actinopteri, Anguilliformes, Anguillidae. The record is from RefSeq and is a predicted model, not a curated record.
UCCGGACGGCUUCGCCCACCUGGCUCGUGCCUCCUUCUAAUGUCUGAGAAAGGAAAGCAAAGAACGUGCCGAAGUACCCAUUCCAGCCCAGGAGGGAAAAAACACUUUAUAAUCCUACGGACCAAACCGACUCGGAUUAUUUUCCAGUAGAACUUCACGCGGAGAUGUCGUUAAGCCGUCGAUGGGAGAAGCGUAAAGAUUUAUGAUGUUUUCAGUGCAUGCCAUAUAUCGUAAGAAGGUGUCCACGGCAGGCGAAUUGCCAGUAAUAGCAUGGACUAUUGAAUAUGCGAACGUGCUUUUGUACAGAACCCCCAGUGAGCGGCACCGGCAGCCCGAGUGACUAUGGAUAAUAUCUCUUAGUCCGGUAUAUUUAGUCCGGUCCGGUUAAUGGACAAAGCGCGGAAAGUCUCUCCGUAACCCGCGUGCGUUUCUUUCGUAUGAACUGUCGGUCUUCGGUAAUGCUGGUCAAUCCACAAGUCAAUUUAACUUAGACAGGUAGAAUAUUCCUUCGGGGAAAUGAAGUUGCCUUUUGAACUCCACCACUGUGGGGGACCUGUGUUUUCAUAAUCUUAAAGCUAUUUUACAGUUUGUUUCAAGAUUUUGGUCUCUGGAAAUAUCCAAGCAAUUCAGAGCUAUUACUCCUUAUGCUUCAGGCUAAGUAACAAGCCGAAGAUUUAAACAGGCACUGCGUCCGCUUGGAGUUGUCAAGAUCACGUCCCUGCAAAAACCAGUCAAAAUGUGUUUUCUUUCAUGAAUAUGCGCACAUUGCUUAAAGCGAGUAGGUCACCGUCGCGAGGAGAAAAUAAGUUUACGUCUUCCGCCAAGUCUUCUUCGCUGAGUGACGACGGGGACAGAGAGAGUGAUUCAUGCGAACAGAUUUCGCGGAGGAGAAAAACAUACGGGAGAGGACUGCGGCUGACAACCUGGAUUGGCAAAUUCUGAACUGGGGGCGUGCGAGGCGGUCCGCAUUCAUGCGUAUACUGCUGCUGCAUCGCUAGACGCGCAGUAUCACAGACCCGAAGCACCGCUGGUAGGCUAUAGCACACCAGAGAAGGCACGCCCGCCAAUUUGUGCAAACAUGCCCUUCAUGACGAGGCGGUAUUGAACAUAUUGGACCCUGCGUGAGAACUGCUGAGAAAAUUGCUCUAAUCGAUAUUUCCUCCGUAGGCUACCGGGGACAGAGACUACAGUGACUGCUACAUCUACAUAUUCGCUUUAAAUGUAAAACCGAAAUCAAUAGCCGUUAACGUAGGCUACAACUCUCGUUGGGAAAUGGCAAUAGCUGUAGUUUUUUAUUUUUAUAGAUUUUUUUAUUUUGAAUAAAUGCUACGGAAGAAAACCUUGUUGGAACAUCUGAUAGAUUGUUGUAUACAUAUUUAUUGAUUAGUUGAUAUGAUGUCUUGAUAUUUUAUGGACUUGGAAAGAAAACUUAAGCUGUUUGUUGGGCAGAUAUUCUACAGUCCGACAAAGGUAGCACGUUUGGGGGGGGGGGGGGGGUUGGUUGGCCAAGGCUGUUAGAGUUAAGAUCUAACUCCAAACAGAUUUAAAUAGCAGUAAUCAAUCAUGAUCAUGAGCAUAAUCGUUAUCGUGAGGUAUCAAUCCGACAUAAAUUUAAUCACAGUCUCCGUCGUUUUACGGUUUUCCCGUUGUGUCACAGAUUGGUGAAGUGUUUAUUUCCGAUUGAGGAAAGUCAAUGCAACCGACGAAAAGAAGGAGGCACUCUCAUUCCUUAUACUCGCAGCGUCUUCAUUCCAAUUAUUAACAUUUUGAAGGAAAAGCAAUGAUUUUGUGUUUUCUACACCGCAAAUAAAGUAUGUUGUGGCUCAUAGGCAGUAAUC